Molecule: ribosomal RNA, 253 nt
Filed under: uncultured bacterium
Lineage: Bacteria
Description: partial 16S ribosomal RNA
Rfam family: Bacterial small subunit ribosomal RNA
Source: RNAcentral
UACGAGGGGUCCAAGCGUUGUUCGGAAUUAUUGGGCGUAAAGCGAGUGCGGGCGGCUUUUUAAGUCAGGAGUGAAAUCCCCGGGCUCAACCCGGGAACUGCGUCUGAGACUGGAAGGCUCGAAUCCGGGAGAGGGAUGUGGAAUUCCAGGUGUAGCGGUGAAAUGCGUAGAUAUCUGGAGGAACACCGGUGGCGAAGGCGGCAUCCUGGACCGAUAUUGACGCUGAGGCGCGAAAGCCAGGGGAGCAAACGGG